AACAUGGGUGCAGUUGUUCCAGCUCUAUGCAUCUCUGAUACACCAUAGCAGUGGCUGCCUCGUCUAGGACAUGACCCCACACCUAGCUCUGGCUGGAUCAGUCCAGCCAGGUCGCACACAGAGGAUGCAGUAACAGCAUUUUAGACAGCCAGGAUAAAAUUUAGAUUCUUCUUGAGCUGUCGAAAAUGGCAUCACUUUCUGAGUCAUUUAUUAUAAAUAGCAGCAUGAAGCAGUUUGUCUGGAUUUUAUGGAGGGAAUGGCCUGGAAGCUAAAUCAUAACCAAAAUUGUAAUAAAAAGAAGAUGAAAAAUGUACAAACAAACCAUAUUAAAAAUUGCUUAUUACAUUUCGGUAUCCUCAAGAAGUUGUUUACUGUGUAUUUCUUCUUUUCUGAUGUGAGAUCUACAUUUCAUUUUUCCUUUCUGUCAAACCUCUUUCACUCACGGUCUCUAGUUUAAAUACUUUCUCCGUGGCAGCGAUUGUAAUUCUGUGCUGUUUCCUCAUCUGCUCCCUCUCAG
Molecule: long non-coding RNA, 517 nt
Organism: Gallus gallus (chicken)
Lineage: Eukaryota; Metazoa; Chordata; Aves; Galliformes; Phasianidae
Source: Ensembl